AGCGCAGGCGGUUUCUUAAGUCUGAUGUGAAAGCCUUCGGCUCAACCGAAGAAGUGCAUCGGAAACUGGGAAACUUGAGUGCAGAAGAGGACAGUGGAACUCCAUGUGUAGCGGUGAAAUGCGUAGAUAUAUGGAAGAACACCAGCGGCGAAGGCGGCUGUCUGGUCUGUAACUGACGCUGAGGCUCGAAAGCAUGGGUAGCAAACA
This 207-nucleotide ribosomal RNA is filed under the name uncultured bacterium. Its description in RNAcentral is "partial 16S ribosomal RNA". It matches the Rfam family "Bacterial small subunit ribosomal RNA", at positions 568 to 774 of the family's 1533-position model. The record is from RNAcentral.